GAUUUUAUCGUUUUUCAUCUUUCCUUUAUUUUUAUUGCUUUUUAUCACUUUCCUUUACUUUUAUCGCUUUUUACCGUUUUCUUUUAUUUUUAGUAUGUUUUGUUUAUUUUAGUUGCUUCUUUUUCCCUUUCAAUAAAAUAAUAUGUGUCUGACGAGUCACCUGUGUAAGUGUAUCCUUAUUUCCCCCAUUUCUUUAACCUUACCAAAAAAAAAAUUAGCCAAGAAAACAGUACAU
This 235-nucleotide long non-coding RNA is filed under the name Lathyrus oleraceus (garden pea). Its description in RNAcentral is "Pisum sativum (pea) long non-coding RNA (PSAT_LNC039604)". Lineage: Eukaryota; Viridiplantae; Streptophyta; Magnoliopsida; Fabales; Fabaceae. The record is from RNAcentral.